UACCGAGGGGGCAAGCGUUGUUCGGAAUUACUGGGCGUAAAGGGCGCGUAGGCGGCCUUCUAAGUCGAACGUGAAAUCCCUGGGCUCAACCCAGGAACUGCGUCCGAUACUGGAAGGCUUGAAUCCGGGAGAGGGAUGCGGAAUUCCAGGUGUAGCGGUGAAAUGCGUAGAGAUCAGGAAGAACACCGGUGGCGAAAGCGCUCUGCUGGACCUUAACUGACACUGAGGGACGAAAGCUAGGGGAGCGAAUGGG
RNAcentral lists this ribosomal RNA (253 nucleotides) under uncultured bacterium. RNAcentral describes it as "partial 16S ribosomal RNA". It matches the Rfam family "Bacterial small subunit ribosomal RNA", at positions 524 to 776 of the family's 1533-position model. The record is from RNAcentral.